Molecule: long non-coding RNA, 1240 nt
Filed under: Oryctolagus cuniculus (rabbit)
Lineage: Eukaryota; Metazoa; Chordata; Mammalia; Lagomorpha; Leporidae
Description: lncRNA (ENSOCUG00000038202.1)
Source: RNAcentral
GGCCAACAUACAGAUUUGUGUCUCUUUCUGAUAAUGAGGAGGCAAAGAAAUCAAUGUGGUUUUUGGAAUGAAAGACGAGUCCACCAAAAAGAGUCAUUCUGUGUUCUAUCUGAGAUAUGCUAUUUGUAUUUACAUUGUUUUAAAGCAGUUUUUUGGCAUUGGGAGCAGAGUCUGCACUGAGUCCUAGCUAGGAAGUGAUCUGAUUGGAUAGUAGUAUUUUGGCUAUACAUUUUUAAGUUUGAGAUAUAAGAUUCAAAUUAUAGGAGUUAUAGAAAUCCUUCUUUGGAAGAUCUGACAAAAACAUGGGUAUUAUCUGUGACAUGGAUCCUUCUGUUAAAAUCCUUAACUAUGUCACAUUCAAAAAUAUUAAAAUACUUUUAACUCCUAAGAUGCCAGAUAAGAAAUUUAAGCUUACAUUUUCCUUCUAAUUGUUCUUCUCUCAUUAGCAGGUGAUAAUGUUGUGGAAAAUCCAGAUAUGUGCUGUGGAGCCAUUUGGUUCUCUGAAGAGUUGCAGCCUGUGGAGAGAGUACCUUGACUGGAUUUCGCCUGGUCUGCAAAACCUGACCACAAGAGUGUCUGAGAGAAGCUGUGGCCCAUUGUCCAGUCCUGCGCACCACCCUCGUGUGACUCUGAGUGCUGUCCAUUCUCCAAUCCUGGUCGCUGCCCACACUCUGGUGAGUGUUCCUCUGUGUGACCUCUUAUUUUUAAGUGAACUCUGACUCAAUACUUGGGAAACCAUAGGGUCUUCGUAUCAUUUUCCCUGGAAGUUAGGCAAGACCCUCUUUCAGUGUUUUGUAGACAGCUGUAAUGAAACACCACCCCCGCCCCCAGGCUUAUGAACAGUGAGUCAGUCUGUUUCUCACAAGGUGGAGGCUGGGAGUCCACCGUCAGGGUGCUGGCAGAUUCGGUGUGGCUGAGGACAAGUGCGUCACAGCCAGCACUCUGUCACCAUGACCUUGUGUGGUAGGAGGGGCACAGGGUUUCUCCAGGGCCUCCUUCAUACAGACGCUCAGUCAUUUGUGAGCAUCCUACCCUGGUGGUGCUAUCCACACCCUAGUACCAGCACUUCAGAAGCUAGGAUUGCAACUUAAGUCCUGCACAGACACAUUUCAGUCAAAGCAGCACUCCCACCUGCUGCCCCAGCCCUGCUCAUGGUCGGCAGGCCUUACUUUAAGCGUGUGUGGCAUUGUGCUGAGAGUCCCAGCAAUCCGGGCUCUGCCAUUGCCAGCCUCACGGUGUA